UAUGGCCAAACCAUGUUUAAACAUUGGUUCUCAUUCAAACACCAAAGUUAAGCCUCAUUGAGCCUGGUCAGUACCUAGAUGGGUGAUAACUUGAGAAUACCAGUGCUGUAAU
This is a non-coding RNA of Acanthosepion pharaonis, 112 nucleotides long. NCBI's taxonomy places the organism in Eukaryota, Metazoa, Mollusca, Cephalopoda, Sepiida, Sepiidae. The record is from the annotation of a GenBank genome assembly.